UACGUAGGGUGCAAGCGUUAAUCGGAAUUACUGGGCGUAAAGCGUGCGCAGGCGGCUUUGCAAGACAGAUGUGAAAUCCCCGGGCUUAACCUGGGAACUGCAUUUGUGACUGCAUGGCUGGAGUGCGGCAGAGGGGAUGGAAUUCCGGCGUGUAGCAGUGAAAUGCGUAGAUAUGCGGAGGAACACCGAUGGCGAAGGCAAUCCCCUGGGCCUGCACUGACGCUCAUGCACGAAAGCGUGGGGAGCAGACAGG
Molecule: ribosomal RNA, 253 nt
Filed under: uncultured bacterium
Lineage: Bacteria
Description: partial 16S ribosomal RNA
Rfam family: Bacterial small subunit ribosomal RNA
Source: RNAcentral